AAUUCUCAACCUUGGCUUGGUUUUCUUACCAGUGCCUCGGCUUGGAUGUGAGGGCUUGCUGGCUUCCUUUAGUGGCGGUCUGCUCCCUUGAAAUGCAUUAGUGGGAUCCUUUGUGGAGCGUCACUUGGUGUGAUAAUUAUCUACGCCGCUUGACUGCGAAGCAAGACUUAUGGGAACCCGCUCAUAACCGUCUCGUAAGGGACAAUACAUUUGACA
This 216-nucleotide unclassified non-coding RNA is filed under the name uncultured Agaricales. RNAcentral describes it as "sequence contains ITS2". Lineage: Eukaryota; Fungi; Basidiomycota; Agaricomycetes; Agaricales. The record is from RNAcentral.